Molecule: long non-coding RNA, 1702 nt
Organism: Acipenser ruthenus (sterlet)
Lineage: Eukaryota; Metazoa; Chordata; Actinopteri; Acipenseriformes; Acipenseridae
Exons: 3
Source: RefSeq, a predicted model, not a curated record
ACAAGUUUGAGCUACCGAGUGGUGGUGUCGGUGGAGCAAAGAAUAAAGAAAGAGCAGCGGUGUUUGCAAAAGCUGUACGGAGACCAGGGAUCGAUAGGGCUGCCGUAUUCAGUAUAACCAGAACAGACUUCAGAGUCCAUCACCCACGGGACCUGUGUGGAGGGACAGAUACAAAUAUACAGCGAGCAGAGCUUUGUUUCGUCUGGCGGUGGAGCUGCAACGUGUCUGCAGUUUGAGCUGAAGUGAGCUGGUAUAUGCGUCAUACAAAGACCCUGUCAUGAGUAACCCAAGCCGCAUACUGACGGGAUUCAAUAUUGUGUAUUGUUGGGAAAGAAAGGCAGCGUUCUGGGUUGCACCUGUGUUAAAAAAACAAACAAAACAAAAACAAAGAAGCCACAAGAAUACUAGGACUGUGGUCGCGUGUUGUGCAUAUUUACCUGCUGUGUGCGUUUCUGUUUAUGACAAACGGGACUCUUUAUUUCAGAUUUAUUUCAGAACGUUUAGUGUGUGCACACACUGAGGAUUUAAACGUUGGUUAUUUAUGGACGGGUCUUUUUUAUUGUUUGUUUAAGCAACAGCCUAAUUCCUAGGACAGUUACUAUAAUGAAGGCUGGUUGCACCAACGAAAUUAAAAGAAACGCCAUUUUUAUCUUACGGUCGAGGUGACUGUGAAAUGGCUGUAAUUGUAAUGGAUGUAUUGUUUAUUUUUUUGAAUGUAAUAAGAAUGAGUUUUAUUGUGUGAUUUUUAUUAUUUUUACUGUUGCACUGUCCCUUUAAACCCCAGGGAGACUACUGGUCUCCAUAGUAAUUGCAGUGAUAAUUCGUAAUGGGGCCAGCUGUAUAAAAACAGGUGGGGUUAAUCAGCGGGAGAGCGACCGGGUUUGAGAGAUUUGUGAGCUGAGAGCACGGGUCGGGGAACUUCUGUUUGCGCUGCAAUCCUGCAUUCUGCUGUGAUCCUCCAUUCUACAGUUUCUGGUUUAGACCAGCGAUUACCAGUCCAGUCACUCUGUCGCAGACCAUCCCUUGGUCCAGGAAACUCCAUGCUCAAAUUCGCGAAGCUACCUAUCAAUGCGUCCUGCUGCAGUUCAUACAAUCCCCUUUUCUUCACCCAGAGGGAACAUGCUCUCCAGGACUUGAUUCUUUAAUUAUAUCACUUAUCUCUUGUCUGUGCUGGACAUUAUCUGUACGUUUAUAAUAUGUAGAUAAAAUGUUUAGCUCUUGACUACCAUAAGGAAAUCUUGUAUAUAUUAUGUACAUGUAGAACUGUAUAUGAAUAUAUAUGCAGUCAAAAAAUGUUUAGCAAAUAAUGCCUGAAUGCGCUCUCUUAUGGAAUGUAGUAUUCUUUUUGGUAUCUGUGUAAUGUUAGGUCUGGGUUUUUGUUUUGUUCCCUUCACUUUUUUAUUUUAUUUUAUUGGUGGCCAAAUGAGGCGGGCUGCACUUGCAGUUCAACACAAGCUAAAAACCUCUUGUAGACCCAGUUCAAGAAAGCUUCGAUACCAGCUGUCAUGCAAGGCUACAUUGGAACGCUGACAGGCACAUUUAGACAUACCCUCCCGUACUCUAUUAUUAAUAGGGUCAUUUUUAUUUGGAAGGAAAAUUCCUCUUCAUAAAAGAAAACUACAUCUAAACCUUGCCAAUGUUAACAAAGCUAUUAGGAGGUAUGCAAAUUUUAAAUCAGUUUUCAGAUCCACCCACCUCUUUU